AUUGAACGCUGGCGGAAUGCUUUACACAUGCAAGUCGAACGGUAGAGGGGGCAACCCCUUGAGAGUGGCGAACGGGUGAGUAAUGUAUCGGAACGUGCCCAGUCGUGGGGGGAUAACGUAGUGAAAAUUACGCUAAUACCGCAUACGAUCUAUGGAUGAAAGCGGGGGAUCGCAAGACCUCGCGCGAUUGGAGCGGCCGAUAUCAGAUUAGGUAGUUGGUGGGGUAAAGGCUCACCAAGCCAACGAUCUGUAGCUGGUCUGAGAGGACGACCAGCCACACUGGAACUGAGACACGGUCCAGACUCCUACGGGAGGCAGCAGUGGGGAAUUUUGGACAAUGGACGCAAGUCUGAUCCAGCCAUUCCGCGUGCAGGACGAAGGCCUUCGGGUUGUAAACUGCUUUUGUACGGAACGAAAAAGCUCUUAUUAAUACUAGGAGUCCAUGACGGUACCGUAAGAAUAAGCACCGGCUAACUACGUGCCAGCAGCCGCGGUAAUACGUAGGGUGCAAGCGUUAAUCGGAAUUACUGGGCGUAAAGCGUGCGCAGGCGGUUAUAUAAGACAGAUGUGAAAUCCCCGAGCUUAACUUGGGAACUGCAUUUGUGACUGUAUAGCUAGAGUACGGCAGAGGGGGAUGGAAUUCCGCGUGUAGCAGUGAAAUGCGUAGAUAUGCGGAGGAACACCGAUGGCGAAGGCA
RNAcentral lists this ribosomal RNA (697 nucleotides) under Pseudomonadota bacterium. Its description in RNAcentral is "bacterial SSU rRNA". It matches the Rfam family "Bacterial small subunit ribosomal RNA", at positions 28 to 723 of the family's 1533-position model. The record is from RNAcentral. Lineage: Bacteria; Pseudomonadati; Pseudomonadota.